AUGUAUAGAAAAGUGGGGCAGUGGAGUCCACAUCUCUCUCCUAUCCUCUUCUUCCUCACGCACGCGGCGGAGCGGAGGAACGGCGCGACGGCCCGAGCCGGGAUGGCUCGGCGCGCUGCGGAAAAAGCGGCGGCGCUCCGCCAGGGUCUCACCGCCGGCGACGGCGAGGCGCGACGGACAGGUGCAUUGUGGCGGACAGAUGCGUGGCGGCAGCGGGCAGCUGCUAGUGUGGCUACAGCGUCGGUGGCGCGGACUUGGCCGAGCUCUGCGCCGUGGCUGCGGUGGCGGCGUUGCAGAGUGGCUGCAGCAGCGGGUGGUUUGAGCUGGAUCCAUGGUGAUGGGUCUGUGGAGAACAGGACCUGCAGACCGUGGCCUGCGGCGGCGGCGAUGGCGCUGUGGGGCUCAGCUUCGAGACGCACCACGGCGGCAGCGUGGCGCCUUCGCCGGAGUUCGCAGCAUGCGCGGCGAGCUCUUGCAGCGCGGAACUCAUGGUGUUGCUGGUCCUGCAGCGCGGCGAGCUCCUGGUGCGCCAUGACCGGCCGAGCCAUCACCACCGCCGUCGCUUCCCAACGCCGCAACCAGCCGAAGCCGCCGCCGCAGUUGAAGUUGGAUGGGGAUUUCAGGUACUGAGGCUGAGGGC
Molecule: long non-coding RNA, 640 nt
Filed under: Oryza sativa Indica Group (long-grained rice)
Lineage: Eukaryota; Viridiplantae; Streptophyta; Magnoliopsida; Poales; Poaceae
Description: lncRNA OsMH63_08G015410
Source: RNAcentral